Molecule: ribosomal RNA, 672 nt
Filed under: Triticum aestivum (bread wheat)
Lineage: Eukaryota; Viridiplantae; Streptophyta; Magnoliopsida; Poales; Poaceae
Description: partial small subunit ribosomal RNA
Source: RNAcentral
AUGGGUAUGCAGGCUCUGAUGGAUGUCCGGUGCAAGAAUCUUGUCAACCCUGUAUGCGACUGGCUUGGUGAGAUUUAUGACCCCGCCUCCAGGGAAUUUGUGAUUCCGGGACGUGGAAGACUGCCGUUGGACGAGGAAUUCGUGUUCUGCACUUUGGGUGUGCCCCGUGGAGAAAUCAAAGUCCCGUAUGAGGUCAAAAAUAAGAUCAAGGAUACGUUGUUCCCCCGUUUGUUUGCUGGGUUGGAAUCCAUGCCGAACACGACUUUCCUGGCAGAUUCGCUGCAGGCCAUGACAACCCAUGGCGAGGUUUUAAAGAUGAAACUACUCAUGUACCCCAUCUCAGCUGUUUUCGCGCCGACCACUUCUCUCCACCCAAGCAACAAAUGCUUCCCUAUCCUGGCGAAACUGAAAGAUGUGAAGAACAUGAAUUGGUGUAAGUUCAUUGCCGACUUUCUGCAUGAUGCAUUCUCAAACAAGAUGUACCAGAAGGGUUGUCGACUGCAUUUAAUGCUCAUGUACAUCGACUGUCUUGAUCUGUCCAUCGUGGAUUUCACUAGGACAGGAGGCCCGCCACCUACACACAAGUUUGUUGUUUCUGCGUGGACUUACGAUGCUGUCAAGGCUGUGCUUGCUGCAGACAGGGUAACUGAUACCAAAUAUGGAAAACUAUAG